Molecule: ribosomal RNA, 492 nt
Filed under: uncultured bacterium
Lineage: Bacteria
Description: partial 16S ribosomal RNA
Rfam family: Bacterial small subunit ribosomal RNA
Source: RNAcentral
AGUGAACGCUGGCGGUAGGCCUAACACAUGCAAGUCGAACGGCAGCACAGUAAGAGCUUGCUCUUACGGGUGGCGAGUGGCGGACGGGUGAUGAAUACAUCGGAAUCUACUUUUUCGUGGGGGAUAACGUAGGGAAACUUACGCUAAUACCGCAUACGACCUACGGGUGAAAGCAUGGGAUCUUCGGGCCUUGCGCGAUUGAAUGAGCCGAUGUCGGAUUAGCUAGUUGGCGGGGUAAAGGCCCACCAAGGCGACGAUCCGUAGCUGGUCUGAGAGGAUGAUCAGCCACACUGGAACUGAGACACGGUCCAGACUCCUACGGGAGGCAGCAGUGGGGAAUAUUGGACAAUGGGCGAAAGCCUGAUCCAGCCAUACCGCGUGGGUGAAGAAGGCCUUCGGGUUGUAAAGCCCUUUUGUUGGGAAAGAAAAGCAGCAGGUUAAUACCCCGCUGUUCUGACGGUACCCAAAGAAUAAGCACCGGCUAACUUCGUG